GUAACUCGGGCGGGGAGGGUGAAGGUGGCAGACCCCCACUGCCCCACCCCCUACGGGGUGAGGCGGUCUAAGCUCGGGAAGCUGGGACACUGUUGUCUUCCUUUCCCCUGGGGAAGUUGGUAGAGUUUUCCCGACGGAGGACUCGGCGCAGAAACUUCCUCCGUCCUCCUCCCCCCCACCCCAUGCAGGCGACGCCGAGUGAGGCUGAGGCUGGGGGCGAAUCGCCGCAGAGCUGCGUGUCGGCGGCGCAUUCUGAUUGGACAGCGGGGAAGCCCGUCAGCCUGUUGGCCCCGCUGAUCCCGCCCCGUAGCGCAGGGCAGCCUUUAACCUUUAGCCCCAGUGGGCGCCAGCCACUCAGAUCGCUUCUUGUUGGUAUGUGUAGCGGCAGUGGCCGCCGGCGGAGCAGUCUGAGCCCGACGAUGAGGCCGGGGACGGGAGCUGAGCGUGGAGGCCUCAUGAUGGGGCACCCUGGCAUGCAUUAUGCCCCAAUGGGAAUGCACCCUAUGGGUCAGAGAGCGAAUAUGCCUCCUGUACCUCAUGGAAUGAUGCCGCAGAUGAUGCCCCCUAUGGGAGGGCCACCAAUGGGACAAAUGCCUGGAAUGAUGUCGUCAGUAAUGCCUGGAAUGAUGAUGUCUCAUAUGUCUCAGGCUUCCAUGCAGCCUGCCUUACCGCUAAACUAAACGGAUAUUCACUCUGAAGUGGGAUAAAUGAAGAUGUGGAGUUUCAUGUUCAUGUAGGGCAGGUUUUGCCACUAUAGUGAGUUUUGGUACCAUACUUGAAAAAAGUUGGUUUUCAGAGGGUUUUGGUUUCCAGAAUUGUGGGUAAAGGAUUGAGGACCUUGUGUACACUUGGUGACCAUAUAACAUUUAAACUACUCCCGAAGUCUCGGUUGCUGAUCUCUUUUACAAUUUAUAGCAAGUUCGGGGAACUGAGACCACUAAAAGUUUUGCUAAGAAUCUGAGUCAGAGGCUUGAGGAUUAUACAUAGCAGGUACUGAUUUCACUGUGCUUUAUGAGGAACUUAUAUAAAAUACACUUUUAAAAAGAUGAAUAAUACUAAUUUCAUUUUUCUUCUUAC
RNAcentral lists this long non-coding RNA (1077 nucleotides) under Pan troglodytes (chimpanzee). RNAcentral describes it as "long non-coding RNA NONPTRT011056". The record is from RNAcentral. Lineage: Eukaryota; Metazoa; Chordata; Mammalia; Primates; Hominidae.